This 1287-nucleotide long non-coding RNA is filed under the name Malus domestica (apple). RNAcentral describes it as "long non-coding RNA (MDOM_LNC005579)". The record is from RNAcentral. Lineage: Eukaryota; Viridiplantae; Streptophyta; Magnoliopsida; Rosales; Rosaceae.
CCAACGGAAGAUACUACGAGACCGACUGAUUCUACGAUGACAGAGCUAUCUAUGCCGACUUAAGAUAUCACCGGUUGCUUCCACAGUGCUGUUGAUGCCAACGAAAGAUGUGUCAGCGAGAAAAGAAAAGAAAAAAUCUCAAAGUUGUUGAGAAAGCUUGCGCAGGGCAGUUUUGUGUUGAAUUGUAGGGGCCUCGAAUGAUGCACGGCCUCUUCUAUUUAUAGCAACGGCUCCCCCCAAGGUCGAGUUAAAACCCCAUUCAGACUAGGACUUCUUCUCCCAAUCAAACACUGACUCGACCAAUCCUACUUUCAUUAUGAUUGUGAACCUAGUCCUUUAUUGAGUCGGAUUCGCUCUCGGGUUAUUAAUCCUGCCGAGACUCCUUAUUGCACCAGGACUUGACUUAUCCUACGUCCUGACCUAGCCGACCUAGGUUUGGAGGCCCACGUACUGAACGAUUCAUGCCGCAAGGCCUUCCGGGCCGAGAAUGAUUCUCUACUCGGCCCAAACUUUAUUUUGGGCCUAAACAUUGCCCCCUCGCUUCUGAGGCCUUCGACCUGAACCCUCUGGUUGAGCUUUGGCCUUGAAGAAGCGAAGUUAAAACUUCAAAACUCGAACGCUCCCCUUCCGAGGUGCAUUUAUUGAACAUGAUCCCAUGAUCUCGAUUCUGCUAACCACCAUUCUACGUGGCCUUCUUUUAUAGGGUUAAUCCAUAGUGACGUUUGGAGCGUGCAACCCCCUGAACCGUCAUAUCAUCAUGGUUUUGUUGCUGAACACCACCACGCCGCCUCGAUCUACGAACCAUCCAGUAUCGUGCAGAUGCCAAACCGUCAUUCACCAUAAAUCUUGCCGUCACACGCAAUCGUGCGUCUCCCAAAACAAGAAACCCUCGGUCUUCUCAACUGGAUUUUCUGAAUGUUCAUAAUGAUUAGCGAAUUCCUCGGUCGAUUCUACCCUUUAUUUCGAAUUUCGAACGAUUGCCCUUCUCUUCAUCGUCCUAUAAAUACCGAAAUCCUCUCAUUUGUACCUUUACGCAUUCAAAUUUUCUGAAUUUCUGCCAUUGCUCUAGCACCUUCCUUUUCUCCGAAUCUUCAUCUUCAAGUCUCCAACCCAGAAAAACCCCUUUUACAUCGUACUUUUUAUCCUUCCCACAAUGGCCUCCUUCAUUUCCAAACUUUCCAGGGAAUGUGAUCAGUGUCAAAAGAUUCUUGAUCGAAGCUCGAUCAAAACUAUACGGUUUGAGAGUGACAUGAGUACUUCCCACCAAAUCUUGGGUCCCAUUUUUAA